This 262-nucleotide ribosomal RNA is filed under the name uncultured archaeon. RNAcentral's name for it is "partial 16S ribosomal RNA". It matches the Rfam family "Archaeal small subunit ribosomal RNA", at positions 720 to 982 of the family's 1478-position model. The record is from RNAcentral.
CACUGACAUUAGAUACCCGUGUAGUCCAGGGUGUAAACGCUGCAGACUUGGUGUUGGGAACCCUUCGGGGGUGCUCAGUGCCGGAGAGAAGUUGUUAAGUCUGCUACUUGGGGAGUACGUCCGCAAGGAUGAAACUUAAAGGAAUUGGCGGGGGAGCACCGCAACGGGAGGAGCGUGCGGUUUAAUUGGAUUCAACGCCGAAAAACUCACCAGCAGCGACUGUUACAUGAAAGUCAGGUUGAUGACCUUACUAGAUUUUCAG